This 484-nucleotide ribosomal RNA is filed under the name uncultured bacterium. Its description in RNAcentral is "partial 16S ribosomal RNA". It matches the Rfam family "Bacterial small subunit ribosomal RNA", at positions 30 to 507 of the family's 1533-position model. The record is from RNAcentral.
AUUGAACGCUAGCGGCAGGCCUAACACAUGCCAGUCGAGCGGAUGAAGGGAGCUUGCUCCUGGAUUCAGCGGCGGACGGGUGAGUAAUGCCUAGGAAUCUGCCUGGUAGUGGGGGAUAACGUCCGGAAACGGGCGCUAAUACCGCAUACGUCCUGAGGGAGAAAGUGGGGGAUCUUCGGACCUCACGCUAUCAGAUGAGCCUAGGUCGGAUUAGCUAGUUGGUGGGGUAAAGGCCUACCAAGGCGACCAUCCGUAACUGGUCUGAGAGGAUGAUCAGUCACACUGGAACUGAGACACGGUCCAGACUCCUACGGGAGGCAGCAGUGGGGAAUAUUGGACAAUGGGCGAAAGCCUGAUCCAGCCAUGCCGCGUGUGUGAAGAAGGUCUUCGGAUUGUAAAGCACUUUAAGUUGGGAGGAAGGGCAGUAAGUUAAUACCUUGCUGUUUUGACGUUACCAACAGAAUAAGCACCGGCUAACUUCGUG